RNAcentral lists this transfer RNA (71 nucleotides) under Dermacentor silvarum. RNAcentral describes it as "transfer RNA glycine (anticodon GCC)". It matches the Rfam family "tRNA". Rfam says of the family: Transfer RNA (tRNA) molecules are approximately 80 nucleotides in length. Their secondary structure includes four short double-helical elements and three loops (D, anti-codon, and T loops). The record is from RNAcentral. Lineage: Eukaryota; Metazoa; Arthropoda; Arachnida; Ixodida; Ixodidae.
GCGUCGGUGGUUCAGUGGUAGAAUACUCGCCUGCCACGCGGGUGGCCCGGGUUCGAUUCCCAGCCAUCGCA